Molecule: ribosomal RNA, 408 nt
Filed under: uncultured bacterium
Lineage: Bacteria
Description: partial 16S ribosomal RNA
Rfam family: Bacterial small subunit ribosomal RNA
Source: RNAcentral
GACGAACGCUGGCGGCGUGCUUAACACAUGCAAGUCGAACGAAGUGGCGGACGGGUGAGUAACGCGUAAUCAACCUGCCCUUCAGAGGGGGACAACAGUUGGAAACGACUGCUAAUACCGCAUACGGAAGGAGGGGAUUGCGUGUGAUUAGCUAGUUGGAGGGGAAACGGCCUCCCAAGGCGAUGAUCAGUAGCCGGUCUGAGAGGAUGAACGGCCACAUGUGGACUGAGACACGGCCCAGACUCCUACGGGAGGCAGCAGUGGGGAAUCUUCCGCAAUGGACGAAAGUCUGACGGAGCAACGCCGGGGGAGUGAUGACGGCCUUCGGGUUGUAAAGCUCUGUUAAUCGGGACGCGUUACCGGAAUAGAAAGCCACGGCUAACUACGUGCCAGCAGCCGCGGUAAUUC